Molecule: long non-coding RNA, 517 nt
Organism: Gasterosteus aculeatus aculeatus (three-spined stickleback)
Lineage: Eukaryota; Metazoa; Chordata; Actinopteri; Perciformes; Gasterosteidae
Source: Ensembl
GAUGGCUGUGCCCCGGAGGAUUUUAACUGCACAGAAGAUGCGACUAUUGACCGCAACCAUGCAGAGCCACAUCCAGCUUCCCAGCACGCUCUGAGGCAGCUGGUCCAGUCUCAUGGCCUGGUCGAUGUGUGAAGAAGGAUGCAUGCAGACUGCCGACAGUACACAUGGUCCCACAUCAGAGGGAUGCGGACCUUUUAAACAGCGUGGUGGAGGAUUUUAGCAAGGCAUCGGCAGCGAGGGUGAACUGGAGGAAAAGCGAAGCCCUUGCCGUCUGUGAAUGGCGUGACGGCCUCCCGGUUCUUCCCCAAAGGGCCAAGCUGGACGUCAGCAGCAGCGUCACCCCUGGCCUGACGGGGGCGCUGCGAAAAACAAAAACAUUGUGCCUGCAGCAGCUGGUGGACGCAGUGGGGCCGACGCUGAGCGAUGCCCUGGCCCUGGGCUCACUGCUUGGGCUGCAUUCGGUCCGGGUGGCGGGGAGGCUCCUGGAGCUGUGGAGCCAAAGGCUGACUGGGGAAGA